CAACAGAGGUAUUGCUUUUUUCUUCAGUCUGCAUAUGGUACAUGGUAUGUCUGCUACAUCCUGUACUCCCACAGUGUUGAUAUAAUAAUUGUUUUGGAAAUACUGAACUAGGAAAUCACAUUAAACUACACUGAAAAAAAAGAUUCUUGCCACUAAUUGAAAUUAAGCAAACAAUUCAAAUAAAAUGUAUUUAAAAACGUAUAAAAUAACUAUUAUUAUUCCAAUUUAUUCUUAUACAACAUGAAUGAAAUGGAUUCAAGACCAACCUGAUCAAAUUACAUAAACUAUAGCCUACUUAAUUCAUUGCCAUAAGGCGCAAAUGCAAGUGUUGCGCAUGCUCAUUGGAGUCUGGAGUCAAAUAACAACAACUGAAGGCGGCAAACUGGCAACGGUGAUCUACUGUCCGACUCAGCGAAAAGGAGGAUUUGGAUGCAUAGAUGUGGAUGUUUUCAAGAAACCUCAUAACUUUGGGACAAUAACUCAAUUACGGUACGUGUAAUAUUUUUUUUUUCAUAUUUUUUUGUAUUAAAACUAAAAUUUACUCGUUUCAUUUCUUUGUAAAAUUGUUGAUGUCGAUUUUCUGUUUUUUGAGGCAACGUAAAGUGUGUGGAAGAAGUAUCACUGAAGUAUCCAGUAUGUUUAAGUAAUUGAAACAUUCUUAAACAUUGACAUUUUGAGGAGAGAUUCAGGCAACCUGUUCACAGUAAAUGAAAUAAAAGCAUAAUUUAUGUGGAUAAAGACUGUGCCACUUCUGUCACCGUUCAUAGCAGCUGGACAGAUGCAAGUGCGAAGACAUACACAUCAAACGAGACAGGACUGCAAUCCUGAAGGAGAUGAGGGAGGAAUUUCUGAGACCACCCUGGGCCUUUUUGUGACCCUUAAAGCGCUGAGUACUAGCCAGACGAUGUUGAAGUAGCAACAGAGGGUGUAAAACUGCUACAACACUUAAGAGUUUUUCCUUUGGAUUAAUAAUGCUGUUCAGAUUGAUCUACGCACUCCAGCUACGCUCAGAGUCUCAAAUUCACAUUUGAAUUCUUCCAGAAGGUAAUGAUGAAUUUGGACUUUAGGACAUCACAUAGAUGUUUCCAUCCCCUGGAAGGACAUUGAAAACUUUUAAACUUGUUCUGUAAUGUUGAAUUGAAGACAGUAUGAUCAAUGACACUAUGAACCGAUGACACUAACUCAAAUCAAGAGACUGCACCUAAUGCACCUUCUGGCUUCCUCUCUGAUACAUUUAAACACAUUUAAUUUUUUGUUCACCAAAACAUGAACAUUCUGUCAUUAUUUACUCACCCUCAUGUCGUUCCACACCCGUAAGACCUUCGUUCAUCUUCAGAAGACAAAUUAGGAUAUUUUUUAUAAAAUCCAUGAGCUAUCUGGCCUCCGAUAGACUGCAACACAACUAUCACUUUCAAGGUCCAGAAAGGUAGUAAAGACAUCAUUAAAAUAGUCAACAUGACUACAGUGGUUCAACCUUAAUAGUAUGAAGCGACGAAAAUACUUUUUGUGCGCAAAACAAAAAAACAAAAACUUUAUUCAAAAAUGUCUUCCCUUUUAUGUCAGUCUCCUACGCAGUUGAUGUUGUACACACAAAAUAUCUUAAUUUGUGUUUUGAAGAUGAACGAAGGUCUUAGGGGUUUGGAGCAACAUGAGAGUGAGUAAUUAAUGACAGAAAUUUCAUUUUUGGGCGAAUAAACCCUUUGAAAAGAUGUUAGCCCUUGUGCUAUUCCUUGUCCAGGAAGUUAACUUGUGAGUAGCACACUUGGGCUACUGAAUGCCUAAAUGCUGAAAUUUGACGGACAACAGAAAACCUGUUAUAUGUAAAGUAAAUUAUAAUCCUUCAGAUUGCUUUUCUUUUUUUCCCCCAAGUGUCCUGAUUGUUUAUUUGUUUGAACAAAUGUUUACAAGGAAUGUAACCAUUUACAGAUCUGUAUCAAGUUUUAGAUAAGUGAAAGCACAAACUGAUGACAAUGCUAUGCAGUGAGAUCCCAAUAUUACCUUGAAAUUGUGAAAAUAAUGUUUGAUGUUGAAAUUUGGUUCCAUGUUGAUCUAUGAACUUGUUGGCACACAGCCAUAACCAUUGUGUUAGUUUGGGAGAAGGCACAAAACUGCAGUAAACAGUUGCCUUAAUUUGUGAAAUACUGCAUUAUGUUCUAUUUUUUUUGUCAGAUUGGAUGUUUCUUAUUCCUGGAGCAAUUGUGACAAUAAAUGUUUAUAAAUGUAA
Ctenopharyngodon idella (grass carp) is the source of this 2224-nucleotide long non-coding RNA. RefSeq lists it as uncharacterized. Lineage: Eukaryota; Metazoa; Chordata; Actinopteri; Cypriniformes; Xenocyprididae. The record is from RefSeq and is a predicted model, not a curated record. The transcript has 5 exons.